UAAAAUGUAGCUAAAACUAAAGCACCUCCCUUACACUGAGAAGAAGCCCGUGGAAAUCGGACCAUUUUAA
RNAcentral lists this transfer RNA (70 nucleotides) under Muraenesox cinereus (daggertooth pike conger). RNAcentral describes it as "tRNA-Val". It matches the Rfam family "tRNA". Rfam says of the family: Transfer RNA (tRNA) molecules are approximately 80 nucleotides in length. Their secondary structure includes four short double-helical elements and three loops (D, anti-codon, and T loops). The record is from RNAcentral. Lineage: Eukaryota; Metazoa; Chordata; Actinopteri; Anguilliformes; Muraenesocidae.